RNAcentral lists this ribosomal RNA (492 nucleotides) under uncultured bacterium. Its description in RNAcentral is "partial 16S ribosomal RNA". It matches the Rfam family "Bacterial small subunit ribosomal RNA", at positions 29 to 507 of the family's 1533-position model. The record is from RNAcentral.
AGUGAACGCUGGCGGUAGGCCUAACACAUGCAAGUCGAACGGCAGCACAGUAAGAGCUUGCUCUUACGGGUGGCGAGUGGCGGACGGGUGAGGAAUACAUCGGAAUCUACUUUUUCGUGGGGGAUAACGUAGGGAAACUUACGCUAAUACCGCAUACGACCUACGGGUGAAAGCAGGGGAUCUUCGGACCUUGCGCGAUUGAAUGAGCCGAUGUCGGAUUAGCUAGUUGGCGGGGUAAAGGCCCACCAAGGCGACGAUCCGUAGCUGGUCUGAGAGGAUGAUCAGCCACACUGGAACUGAGACACGGUCCAGACUCCUACGGGAGGCAGCAGUGGGGAAUAUUGGACAAUGGGCGCAAGCCUGAUCCAGCCAUACCGCGUGGGUGAAGAAGGCCUUCGGGUUGUAAAGCCCUUUUGUUGGGAAAGAAAAGCAGUAGGUUAAUACCCCGCUGUUCUGGCGGUACCCAAAGAAUAAGCACCGGCUAACUUCGUG